AGUGAACGCUGGCGGCAGGCCUAAUACAUGCCAGUCGAACGGCAGCACAGUGGAGCUUGCUCCAUGGGUGGCGAGUGGCGGACGGGUGAGGAAUACAUGGGAAUCUGCCCAGUCGUGGGGGAUAACGUAGGGAAACUUACGCUAAUACCGCAUGCGCCCUUCGGGGGAAAGCCGGGGACCUUCGGGCCUGGCGCGAUUGGAUGAGCCCAUGUUCGAUUAGCUAGUUGGCGGGGUAAAGGCCCACCAAGGCGACGAUCGAUAGCUGAUCUGAGAGGAUGAUCAGCCACACUGGGACUGAGACACGGCCCAGACUCCUACGGGAGGCAGCAGUAGGGAAUAUUGGACAAUGGGCACAAGCCUGAUCCAGCCAUGCCGCGUGAGUGAAGAAGGCCCUCGGGUUGUAAAGCUCUUUUGUCCGGGAAGAAAAGCAUCGGGCUAAUACCUCGGUGUUCUGACGGUACCGGAAGAAUAAGCACCGGCUAACUUCGUG
This 490-nucleotide ribosomal RNA is filed under the name uncultured bacterium. Its description in RNAcentral is "partial 16S ribosomal RNA". It matches the Rfam family "Bacterial small subunit ribosomal RNA", at positions 29 to 507 of the family's 1533-position model. The record is from RNAcentral.